GGCAGAUGUUGACAAGAACUUGCCUAUCAACCACGGAAUAGAGACCAGCUUGAAACUCAAGAGACCUUCCACUCCGAUAUUCUUAACUGGCCUUCAGACUCCAUCAUCCAGUGAGCUGCAAGAGAGACUUCAGUCUGUCUCAGGUAAGAUUAUCUUUUGUUUUCUUCUCCUAAGUAAGAGCAGUUUAGAGAUAAAGAUGAGAUUGAGCUUAUUCUCCCGUAACUCUGACCUGUUGCCUUGAGUACCAGUCAGGUUUCCAGAUGGUUUUUAUGUGUUGCUGGUUUGGGGUGCCUUUUCUGUGAUUGGGUUCCUCUCUUGUGCUCCAGUGCUAGUGAUCCCUUUGGGUGGGGUCACACACAUAUCAGCUAUCCUGCACAUCAGAUAUUUACAUUAUGAUUCAUAACCAUAGCAAAAUGACAGUUAUGAGGCAGCAAUGAAAAUAAUUUUAUGGUUGGGGGUCACCACAACAUGAGGAACUUAAGAGCCACAGCAAUAGGAAGGUUGAGAGCCACUGUUUUAGAAGAAAGAGCUGAGGAAACAUUUGUGGACUAACUUGCCUCAGUACUCUCUUUCUGUGUCUCAAACCUAUGCCUUCAGAGAACCUUGACGUCAUCUCAAAACUAUUAGUAGAACUGGUUUGUGCACAGUUCUUCAUGCUUGUACCAGAAAUACACAUGAGA
This 680-nucleotide long non-coding RNA is filed under the name Mus pahari (shrew mouse). RNAcentral's name for it is "lncRNA (MGP_PahariEiJ_G0006485.1)". The record is from RNAcentral. Lineage: Eukaryota; Metazoa; Chordata; Mammalia; Rodentia; Muridae.